CCCUUAGAUGUUCUGGGCCACACGCGCGUUACACUGAUGAAGCCAGCGAGUAUAUCGCCUUCACCGGAAGGUGCGGGUAAUCUUGUGAAACUUCAUCGUGCUGGGGAUAGACCAUUGCAAUUAUUGGUCUUGAACGAGGAAUUCCUAGUAAGCAUGAGUCAUCAACUCGUGCUGAUUACGUCCCUGCCCUUUGUACACACCGCCCGUCGCUACUACCGAUUGAAUGGUUUAGUGGGAUCUCGGGAUUGGAGACGUUGCGCCGCAAGGCACAUCGUCCUCGAGAACUUGAUCAAACUUGAUCAUUUAGAGGAAGUAAAAGUCGUAACA
This 327-nucleotide ribosomal RNA is filed under the name uncultured eukaryote. RNAcentral's name for it is "partial 18S ribosomal RNA". It matches the Rfam family "Eukaryotic small subunit ribosomal RNA", at positions 1470 to 1796 of the family's 1831-position model. The record is from RNAcentral.